UUAGAAAGGGGGUUUGGCGAUCGGGAUUUCCCGGAAAACUGUUUCGUACGGUCUCGGCGUCGCAGUAGCCUACCUAUGCUGCGAAGAGGGACAGUCGUGCAACAUGUUUCGGACCAUGAAAAUGCAUUGUUGUUUCCACAAAGGUGAAGCUUUUAGCAGAUGCCACUCUGAAUUUUCCAGGGUUCAGGUUUUUUCCACAUCAGCAAUGGUUUUUGGGGUGUCUGCAGACAGGAUUAGCGGGAUCCCUUCCUCUUGGAUCAUCACAUCAUCCUCUAUCCGCACCCCAAGUCCUCGAAAUCGUUUUGGGCAGCUUUCAUCAUCUUCACAGAUGUACAGUCCUAUUCAGAUAGAAUAAUCAUUAUGGUAAAAUUGCAGCAAAUUGAAGCGAAUACUGGAAUCAGUGAUACAGCUGACAGUGUAUCCAGUCAUGCACACCUGGCUCAAUAGUGAUGGCCAUGCCAGGCUGAAGAGGCUGAGAGCGGGACAGCUCAGGUGUGUCGUGCACAUCCAUGCCCAGGUAGUGGCCGACGUGAUGGGGACAGAGGCGCCGUGCAAUCUGAGACAAUCAAGACAAUAAAUAUAACAGCAGAUAUAAAAUUGCUUUGUGUACAUCAAUCACCUUAAAUGUCCACAGAUACAGGAUACAUAAUGUCCUCACUAAUGUCAUCAUGUACAUACUUUGACAUGCUUCACGUAUUGCUGUGGUUAAGCUGUAGACCACAUAUGAUUAACUCCUAGGUCAUUGUGAUGCAUAGGCUGUUCAGGAUGUUAAACACACUCUUAAACGUGCUGGUGUGUAGUUAUACAACUAACACUGUUCAAAACUAAUGCUGUAGUAUAUAUAUUAGGCCUACAUUUAUGAUAUUUAGGUAUUCAAAUGUUUGUGCUUGGUGUUUUUACCACCGGUGUGUCUGUGUGCUUGUGCACCGUGCUUUGUCCAGAGACCUGAGAUAUCAGAUCUCCAGAGAUACAUCUUGCACAUUCAAUAUCCACUACACACUGGAUUCAAGGAAUUUUGAAAAAUGGAAAAUGGAUGGCUCAACAAAUCUAAUGGAAGCUAUGGUGUGCAUAUUUUUUAAAAAAAUCAGUAUGAGAAUAUUCAAUAGUGUGGACUGUACUGACAAAAUUGUCAGCUAUCAGUAAUCUUGCCAAUGUAAUCGGCCCCUGUGAGAGUGGUCACCAUGAUACUUACACACCUUCCCCAAUCAGUGUUUUAUUAAUGCUGGUGUAUAUCUAAAUAUAAUAUUAAGCAUGUUAUU
Molecule: long non-coding RNA, 1259 nt
Organism: Sardina pilchardus (European sardine)
Lineage: Eukaryota; Metazoa; Chordata; Actinopteri; Clupeiformes; Clupeidae
Exons: 3
Source: RefSeq, a predicted model, not a curated record